RNAcentral lists this ribosomal RNA (253 nucleotides) under uncultured bacterium. Its description in RNAcentral is "partial 16S ribosomal RNA". It matches the Rfam family "Bacterial small subunit ribosomal RNA", at positions 524 to 776 of the family's 1533-position model. The record is from RNAcentral.
UACAGGGGGUGCAAACGUCGCUCGGAAUUAUUGGGCGUAAAGCGCGCGUAGGCGGCUACCUAAGUCGGAUGUGAAAGCCCCUGGCUUAACUGGGGAAGUGCACCCGAAACUGGGUAGCUAGAGUGCAAAAGAGGGUCGCGGAAUUCCCGGUGUAGAGGUGAAAUUCGUAGAUAUCGGGAGGAACACCGGUGGCGAAGGCGGCGACCUGGGUUGACACUGACGCUGAGGCGCGAAAGCGUGGGGAGCAAACAGG